RNAcentral lists this ribosomal RNA (237 nucleotides) under uncultured bacterium. RNAcentral describes it as "partial 16S ribosomal RNA". It matches the Rfam family "Bacterial small subunit ribosomal RNA", at positions 14 to 244 of the family's 1533-position model. The record is from RNAcentral.
UGAUCCUGGCUCAGGAUGAACGCUAGCUACAGGCUUAACACAUGCAAGUCGAGGGGCAGCAUGUUGGUUGCUUGCAACCAAUGAUGACGACCGGCGCACGGGUGAGUAACGCGUAUCCAACCUACCCUUGUCCAUCGGAUAACCCGUCGAAAGGCGGCCUAACACGAUAUGCGGUUCACAGCAGGCAUCUAACGUGAACGAAAUGUAAAGGAGAAGGAUGGGGAUGCGUCUGAUUAG